UCGCGCGGUAAUGCUCUCGUACAGCCUGGAGGGCCGGCUAAGGCCCCGGAGCUAUGUUGUGAAGUUUCUUAAGGCAAAUGGAUUGCUAGAUCCCGACCGGGACUUGUAUUCCGUGCUUGUAGUGACUGAGAAGGUAUUCAUGGAGAGGUACAUAUUCCCUCACAAGGAAGCUGCACCAUGCCUCGCUGGAGACUAUGCUGAUGCUUGCAAAGGGCUAAUGCCGACUAAUUUCAGAUUUACAUGAAGCAAGGAUGGGUUAUGGAAAUCGGUAACUGUGUAUGGCAUGACAGUUUUCACCAUUCAUAGUAAGCUGGAUUAUUGGUUGCAGCAUCAGAGAAAGGUAGGUCACAAGCUGUAGGUGCAUGCCAACUUCAAAGGUUAGAGACCCCAGAUCUGGGAGAGGCAGUGCUGAUUGAGGAGGGCAGCUGGAAGACGUGACGACCCAACAACCUGGAACAUCGACGCUUAAGCUUUGGUGGGAGCAUGGAGUGUACAGCCUUGCUUGUUUGUGCUAUGGCCCGAUAAGCCGACCGUGCGUAUCAGACCCCCUGGGAGUGGAUGCAGGACACUGGAUUCGUCGUCAGAUGAAGCACAUUUCAUCAACUCCCUUCCGUGAUGCCUCGAACGAAUUAGAAGAAGUACAACUGCCUGAAGAAAUACAGGAGUACAUUAACACCAAAUAUCCUUCAGUGCACAACAUUCAGGAGAAGAAAAUGCUCGAACAUUGCAGUCAGAAGUUUUGGCAAACAAUUCUGAAAAAACUCCAUACCAACUGCGAAAACUUACAUCGAGGAUGUCCACAGCUCAGACUACACCAACAGUGCCUCCAGUGAUACAAGUCAUUCCAGAGCUACAAAAUUGCCAUCUACUUCAAACAUCCAGCUGUCUUCUACUGCGACAAGUACUUGUGUCCCACAGUUUACAAAAGAAUUGAAACCAGAGAUAGACUCAUUCAUAUCUUUCUUCGAUUUCUUGGAUUUUCCUAUGCCUGCUAAACAUCCUUCAAGUUAUGAUUCGGAAAUCAGCAAUUUACAGGUUGAUUUGUUCAUCCACAAAUUCUCUGAAUGCUUAAAUCUGGACAUUUCGGCAAACAAUAAGUUUCUUUUCACUAUCGGCUCACCAAGUUCUCAGGUGUUAGAAUGGCAAGAGGUUUUCAACAAAGACCAAACCAACAAAAUUUACAGCGAUAAUCAGACUACACCUUCGCAAGGAUUUCCGGCGAUGCGCAUUCAGUGGGAGGAGACGUUCCCGUCGACGACGAGGUGCCUACGGUGACUUCUUAAAUUUCAAGAUGAUAUGCCGGCUCAGUCUUUCGGAGGUGCUCAUAGGGGUAGGGUGUGCGUGUGUGCGUUCAUAGGACGAGUGUAUGCGCGUGUAUAUGAGCGCUCGCGUCUGUACUGUGUUAAAAAAAAAUUUGAAGGUCCUCCAAGUAGCUGUUAAUAAACCCCAUGGCAGUAAGAGGGCUCUGAAAUUGUUCAUCAUGGACUACUCGCCGUCUUGGCCGCCAAAUUGCUACUCGAGCUAGUCACUCUAAUCUACUAGCCCCGGCCCGGCCCAGUCGCGUUUGUACCAGGCAAAUCUUCACGAGUCUCCUCGUCUCGCCAUCGUUCCCCAUUCCCUCGCUGCCGGCGCCGCCGCGCCGCCGCCUGCGCCAUGCUCCGCCUCUGGAGCUGCAUCCUCGCCCAUCUCCUCUCCUCUCCCGCCAUUCUGAGUACCAAGCUGGUAAUUCCUAUUUUUGUGUUCUUUUCCUAACUGGAUGAUAUCUUUUAUCUGCUAUUAACUUUUGAACACCAACGUGUCGAUGUAUUAUUCAGUAGAGAAGAAAGCAUCGCCUGCAAUCUCUGAAAAUGAUAAGUCCUGGAAUAUAUUUGUGCUUCUGACUUCCGUUUAAGAUCAUGGAAAUUGGAUGUGGGGAUGGAUCAAUUUUCUGUUGAAACCAGGACCCAGCAAACCAGAUAGCAAAAAACUGCCCUGUCCUGGUUUCCAUUAAAAACAUUGCUAUGAUCUGCUUUCAUGCUGAAUUCUAUCAGCAUUUUUGUUUCAUCGUCUUGUUUGUUCCAUCAUAUUUCAAUUAGUACUAAAAUUGCAGUUCAAUGUUUGAUGUUUAGGCUAUGCUUAGAAAAUGUAUUUCUGUUGGGUGUACAUUCGCCUUUUUCUUCUUCCCUGUAUUCUUCAAAGAUUGAUAUGCUUUGUUCCUAAAUUCUAUGGUUGACAUUUGCUGGAAACUUUUAACUGUGAAAAGCUGACCUAUCCGAGACUAAAUCAUGAUUGUAAAAUGAAUUAAAUCGUGAGAACUAAACCAAAGAAGACGUCAUGAGUUAGUCUUAUCAUAUCUCUCUACUAUUAAGUUUGAAAGGAGGAAUACGACACCCAAUCCAUUCAAGGAACUGCAAGUCCAGAACAUGCAGUGAGUUAACAUACAAUUAUGUUAGUUGCAGCUAAAAUCAGGGGUGUGCCCAGCAAAUGGUGAUUAAUAUGCCACCAUUUCAUGUUAAAAUACAAAGCAAAUGAACAUUUGGAGAUUUGUUCAGAGAGGCUAAAUGGUGUUAGUUUCUAUUUCAAGUAUCAACACUGAACCUGAUACUUGCAUGGCAGAUAACUUUCACACUAGAACACUUGUUUCGCGCUAACUCUGGGAUAGAUACUCAUGCUCUGAACUUUUCUUUUGUUCACUGGGAAACUUCUGGUGUUAUAAAUGGUCUUCAUUUUCACUCUACCUCUAGGGGCACUUUGUGGAAUGGGCUGUUGAAAGCUUUGGCAACAAAGCUGCUAUUCAGUUUACCGUUGAAUUUAGCAGCUGCUAAUCCAUGCAGUUUCUUUAUUAAAAAAAGGAAAGCCCCAAAUGCAAGCAGGGGUUAUAUAACCUGUGAAUUAUGUCUUGCCCUCUUCAUGUGUACAGUUAUGAUGUGCCCAAGAACUGGAGGUCAUGAUCUUGCUCACCAGCAGCCUCCACAUUAAUCCAUGGAGAUUAGCAACUAUGACUGUCCCGUCUUUGCUGCGGAAGAUCUGGACCCUCGGAUCAGAAGAUGCACCCUCAGAUGGUGUAGGCCUUGCUAGUCAUGUCCUGAGUCCUCACGCAGGCCUUGCUCGUCACAUGGUGUAGCAGCUGCAGCCCUGCUCCACCUCCUUUACAAUGCUGCGAGGUGCUUAAAUCUAAGCCGUACUGUUUCCUUGGUCGUUGUUUGGUAACUCGGUCAUGUUGAAUAUAUUACUAUAUGAAUUAAAACCACCACAGGAAUUAUGGAACGGAGUAAGUAGCAAUUACCCACAUGUAUAAUGUUGUCGAAGUGUGGAACCAUGCGUCUCAUGAAAUUUUGUUGUUGAUUUUUCUUCUACCAUGCCGACAACUAUUAUUAUUUGGUGUUUAUACACCAUCUUAUUAUUAUUUGUUUCUCGAACCACAACUUUCAUGCCUUCUAGUAAAAAGUAACGAUAAAAAUAAGAAUCUGAGAGAAAUAUGUACCAAAAAAUGGAACCGUGUUGUAGGACAUGACUAGAUUUUGUAAUUACCGACAAAGCCCCCUGUCAUCUCAAAUUGAUAAGCUAACUAACGCUAAAUUUACGUAGAGUAAUUUUAAUGAAAUAGUUAGUAACCCAACUUUGUAUCUUUCUAUUUUUCAGCUUGACUUCCUUUUCUCCAAUAAAUUUCGCAACUUUGAGUUUUUGGUCUUUCUAGUCUACUAUGGAGAAUGAGGGAUUAAUUCCUUCAUAAAUAACGCAUCCAAGAAUUAAUAUGUGGCAAUGUGCUCCAAGAAAAACGCACCGAAUAUUGAUACAAUGAAUUUUCAAUAACGCGGCUGAACUUGAAACGCGUCGUUCACGCAAGCAAAUGCAGCCUUGUAACCGAAAACAAGGAAGCAAAAUAGGUAUUGUUCAUGAACCAGACGUAAAUGCAUACAUAUGUGAAAUUAAUGAUAUUCGGGUAUCCUGACCAAGAGCUGGAUAUGUUGAACUAGUACUAUUUGCAUUCAUGUAUGUUAAUCGGUUUACCUGAGAAUGCAUGGGUUUACAUGUCGCAAAUCAACAUGCAUAUAUGCCAGAGAUGAAUACUCCCUCCACCCCAACUUGGCAGUCUUUUCUUGAUCCGGGCGGUACUAAAUUUUCAGUUAGCAUCGACAUGGUAACCGAUUUCUAACAUCCAACACACAAUCUGAUCUAAUUGCAAGUCUAGGUGACAUGAUAUUGCAUUGUUGAUAUACAAUGAUGCAUGAUAAUCCCACCGUUUGAAAUAUGGGUAUUGUUUUUCUUGGGAGAAAAUAAGUCAAAGGAUUAAAGCAGCUCUAAUCAAACUCCUAAAAAGGGUUAAACUCCACAAAAAAUUCUGUUUUGAGAAGUCAAGUUGCACCUACAAACUCUCAAGGUUUACUCCUCAAAGUUGUAAAGUCCCGCCUACCACCAAAGGCCCUGAUUCUGAUUCUGACAGGAAAGGAAUUGCCAGCCGCCUACACAACCCCACCGACCACUCCUGGCGACGCUACAUUGCCAGAGUUGGCGAACGCGUCGACGCCAAAGAAGCGAAUGGGAACGGUCCACCGCGCCAUCCACGGCCGCGACUGGUAAGGCCCUCAACGAGGCGAUAGCAAAGAAGGGGAAGAAGCCCUUCGCUCCAACGCCUUCUCCAUGUUUGGUAGCUCGCAUAGCUUCCACUCCAUAUCCGGCCACCCCCUCACCUCCUCCUCCGCCACCUACGGCCACCGCAGUCGUCGAUGAUGAUCAUGCCCGCCAAGUGUCUGCCUGAAAGUGCGGGGCGAACAUGAUGUUGCAAGUUCCAUAUCCCAAUCGGAUGAGUCGCACAUACUCAGACUCGUUGACAUGGAGUUGUCAAUGGCCGAUGAUUAUGAGAGGUUUGAAGAUGACAAGGGUGAGGAGAAUGACCUCGAAGCAGAGGAGGUCGAUGAUCAAGUGGAGACACGAACAAACAUUAAGAAGAUAAGGUCAACGAAGUACAGUAGCCAAGAGAACAUUGCCUUGUGGCUUGCUUGGAUGAAUAUCUCGCUUGAUGCCUUGGUUGGUGCGGAUCCCACACCGAAGGAGAAGCCUGGAGUAGGAUUGAGGAAUACCACUCCAACAACGUGACCGUCCAUUCCCACCGCACUCAAGGUUCUCUUGCCCCAUCGAUGGAGCGUGAUACAAGAGCAGUGUAGCCGAUGGCCCGGUGCGCCGAUCAAGUCAGCAUUGCACCACCGAUUUCUGCUAUGGUGGUGUCGGGUGACGAAAGUUGGCAACAAGCUCAGAGGACUCCUCGGUGACGAUUGUAGCUUCCUUCGAUAUCCAUUAUUGUGGCGUCGGAGGCGGAUGGCGGAAGCUGGCAUCAAGCUCGGGGGAUUCUUCGGUCUUGAUUGUAAUUUUCUUUUUUGCCUGUUGUCUUUUUAGUUUUGUUAGAUGAGUGUCCGCAUGACUUCUACCUUAUUGUUUGAAAAGAAACAAGAAUCCGAUAUAAAUAAUUCGGUA
Molecule: non-coding RNA, 5451 nt
Organism: Aegilops tauschii subsp. strangulata
Lineage: Eukaryota; Viridiplantae; Streptophyta; Magnoliopsida; Poales; Poaceae
Source: RefSeq, a predicted model, not a curated record